AAGGAGCAGCCACACCUGGUUCCUGUCAGCAAGUGCCUUGACAAGUGUCAGCAAGUGUCCGGUUUGGGUUUGACGUCUGCACACAGGAUGGAUCCCCCGGUGUAACACAGAUUUACAGUGCAGGUGCUUGGUAUCUGAACUCAGGCUUUCAUGCUUUUAUAGCUUAACAUUUUACCAACCAAGACAUCAAUGCAGUCCCAGGGACUUAGCCGAUUCACUUUACUGAUCUACUCAAUUUAAAGUCAGACUGAGCAUGCCCACAAUCAUGACUAAGGGAUCGGUUUAGAAUGUUUUGGAGUCUAACAAAGUAAGAAAACUUAAAGAAACGAAGGAGAAAAACAAGACACAGAGGGAGAUGGAGAAACUCAAUAGAGUAAUCUGUUCGCAUAGUAGAAACAAGCUAGAUGCCAUGCUCCUUAUGCCCAGAGACACCAAGCACCUCAUACAUCCCCGGUGCCCAAGCUACCCUGGCUAUCUUGGGUUUUUUUGUUGUUGUUGUUUUUUGUUUUUUGUUUUUUGUUUGUUUUUGUUUUUUCCCUCUGUGUAGCCCUGGCUGUCCUGGAACUCACUAUGUAGACCAGGCUGGCCUCAAACUCAGAAAUCUGCCUGCCUCUGACUCCUAAGUGUUGGAAUUAAAGGGAUGCACCACCACUGCCCACCUCCUGGCUAGCUUUAAAGGCAAUUUUACAUUUACAUUUAUUAGUUGAUGCCUUCCAUAAAAAAAAAAAUAGUUGUCAAAGUCAGUUUCUUGGAUUUCAAAAGGAAAAGAGCUGAAGAGCAAUUGUAUAUCAUGAUUUUCUCCUUCGAUUUUCAGUGCCACUGUAGACUAAGAAUUAGACACAUCAUCUUAUAAGCCUCCAUGAGGGUCGGUAUUGCUGCCUUAAAAUCCUGGGUCUUCAGCAAACACAGGGAUUAAUUGGAAGUUACAAGUUCCAGCGAAGCCUGUUCUUGAGGAAACACAGUCUUUGUGGACUCACAAGAGGAUGUAUUCAACUUCCCAGCUCACUGAUUUGACAGUAAAGGAUUCUUGGGUGGCAUUUCAGAGCAUAGAGAUGACCCUAGAACACCUCUGCUCCCAACCCUGCCCCUACCCCCUGCUGAAGCCUCUGUUUCAAAUGAUGUAGCUACUUGGAUGUACCUACUUUAAAAAUAAAAUGAUAUGCAAGUUUAAAAAAGAAAGAAAGAAAGAAAGAAAGAAAGAAAGAAAGAAAGAAAGAAAGAAAGAAAGAAAGAAAGAAAGAAAGAAAGACAGGAAAGCCAGCCAAGAGCAAGAGUUGUGUGUUUGACAUGAGUAUUUGGCAUUGUGCAACUUUGUCAAGCUUCAGAAAAGAAUGAGAAGUUGGAAAGUAGAAGGGAAAAUGCAUCAUAAAACAUAUACUGACAUGGAUGCAGUCUGGUCUCCCGACCAAGAGAAUUAUACACUUUGAGAAAUGGGUAUGAAGCACUGAGUGGCUCCUAGAAUUCAUGACAGCAGGACUUGGGAGAAUCCAGUGCUGUGGGGCUCUGGCUUCUAAUUCUCUGUUAUACAUGAUGGCUGAUAAAAAUAGUCCUGAAACUGGCAGACCAUAAUUUUAACUCUAUUUAUUAUGUGGAAAUACACAAGCAUGAAAAAUAUGGAGAUGAAGACAGUGUCAAAAACAGUGGAAAGUUCUUUUCAUGUCACUCAUCAGAUUUCAUCCGGUGAACAUGCCCAGCAAAAAGGACCCAAAAGAGGGUAUAUGGCAAAAAAGAAACAGAUUGCUAAAGUAGAAAGAAGAGAAACAUGCAUAUUUUAGGAGUGAAACAUGAAGGAUGAUAUCAACUUGGAGUUGGUAACACUGAUUUUGUUGAACGAUUUCUUCUAUAUCUUUGACAGCUCAUGUUGGUAGACUUAGUAGAGUAAUGGCUAUUUAUCUUGAGGUGAUGUAACAGAAACCACCAGACUGCCUCUACCUGAUGUAGUAUGAGGUAAAAAUGGACAAAACCUAAAUGCUAUCUACACUGGGGAAGGUUUCUAGAAGAUGCACGGCCCAAAUGUGAUCUCUAAUGUUCACCAAGUGGAUAAACAGAAGACUUUGAGGAUAAAGAUUUGCUUCUAGAAAGUUUUUUGAAGUAAUUUCUGUCUAUAGUAAACAGGGAACAAAUAAAGGAGCUAAAUUAC
Mus musculus (house mouse) is the source of this 2140-nucleotide long non-coding RNA. RefSeq annotates it as RIKEN cDNA 4930578E11 gene. Lineage: Eukaryota; Metazoa; Chordata; Mammalia; Rodentia; Muridae. The record is from RefSeq and is marked validated. The transcript is spliced from 8 exons.